GACGAACGCUGGCGGCAUGCCUAAUACAUGCAAGUCGAGCGAACAGAUGAAGUGCCUGCACUUCUGACGUUAGCGGCGAACGGGUGAGUAACACGUAAGGAAUCUACCUAUAAGCGGGGGAUAACAUUCGGAAACGGGUGCUAAUACCGCAUAAUAUCUUCUUCCGCAUGGAAGAAGAUUGGAAGACGGCUCUGCUGUCACUUAUAGAUGACCUUGCGGUGCAUUAGUUAGUUGGUGGGGUAACGGCCUACCAAGACGAUGAUGCAUAGCCGACCUGAGAGGGUGAUCGGCCACAUUGGGACUGAGACACGGCCCAAACUCCUACGGGAGGCAGCAGUAGGGAAUCUUCCGCAAUGGGCGAAAGCCUGACGGAGCAAUGCCGCGUGAGUGAAGAAGGCCUUCGGGUCGUAAAACUCUGUUAUAAGAGAAGAACAAAUUGUAGAGUAACUGCUACAGUCUUGACGGUAUCUUAUCAGAAAGCCACGGCUAACUACGUGCCAGCAGCCGCAGUAA
This 513-nucleotide ribosomal RNA is filed under the name uncultured bacterium. Its description in RNAcentral is "partial 16S ribosomal RNA". It matches the Rfam family "Bacterial small subunit ribosomal RNA", at positions 28 to 523 of the family's 1533-position model. The record is from RNAcentral.